Molecule: transfer RNA, 74 nt
Filed under: Alphaproteobacteria bacterium ADurb.Bin438
Lineage: Bacteria; Pseudomonadati; Pseudomonadota; Alphaproteobacteria
Description: tRNA-Cys
Rfam family: tRNA
About the family: Transfer RNA (tRNA) molecules are approximately 80 nucleotides in length. Their secondary structure includes four short double-helical elements and three loops (D, anti-codon, and T loops).
Source: RNAcentral
GUGGUGUUGGCAGAUUGUAUAUGCAACGGAUUGCAAACCCGUCUAAGUAGGUUAAAUUCCUAUACACCACUCCA